UUUUUUUUUUUUUUUUUUCAAGAGGAAAGAGAGUUGUUGCCUCUGAAUCUCAUGUGGAAUUCUUUGGGAUACAGCUGUGGGUAGGAAUAGACAAAUCUCGUCUCACUGAUAUGCCAGUUAGUAAGAGGGAGAGAACAUCUGGAGAAAUUCCAGGUGGACAAUUACUGUGUGUCAAAAGAAAGCUUUUCCUUGCAAAGUGUGUUUGUAGGGUCAGGUACUGCGAACAGCCAUUGACUCUGCUCUCCAGAAACAACAGUAUUGGUCAUUCAAAAAAAGACAAUCCAUUGCUUUGGACGAACCUCUCAUUGUUAUUAUGUAAUUGAAUGAUGCCAUGAAGGGAGGCAUUGCACUGCCAGACUUUGAACUCUGCCACAAGGAAUCAAUAGAACUAUCGUGUUACUGUUUUUGCAAUUUGAAUGUACUUUUUUGUGUAGUAAUUAAAGUAUGUCAGUUAUUUUAGCAUUAUGUGAAAAUUAAUGACAAUGUUUAAAACACAAUGUAUAGUAUGGCCUAAACUGUGUGAGAUACAAGUGCCCAUUCCUCUAAAUAUGUCAUUGGAUGCAGGCUGCAGCUCUCCUGAUAUGAGAUGCUGUGUCCUGAGGUUAACUCAGGGUAUACAAGCUUGGUCUUUCCUCCUGCCCCCCCCCCCAUCCAUCCCAUUCUCCCUCCUCCUCCUGUGCUUCCCUUCCUCUCUUUCUCUUUCCUUCCUUCCCUUUUCCUUCAUAUAUUUCUGUUCUCUGCUAAAGGGAGGAUGUGGGUAUUCAGAAAAAGGUGUCUUCAGUUAUUGACCUCAAUAGCCAAACCACUCAGUAAUUAAAGUAACAAAUUACUUCAAAUAUGUUGACACAAAUAUCCUUUUCAUUUCUCUCCAUUUCAUUAUCUGUUAACUCUAUUUAUUCCCUAUGCUACAGCUUCUUUUCUUUCUCUCCCAUCUACUUUUCCUUCUCAACUUGGGGGGCGUUGUUUUUUAAACCAUCUAAGUUCAUUUAGCGCUAUCUGAAUCAGCUUGGAUUUAGAGCUGAUUUCUUAAAUGAAGAACUUUAAAGAAGGCUUGUCAUGAAAUAUGAUGUUUUGCAGAGACUUCUAAACACACCCACCUACAGGGUUAGCUCAGAAUGUCACUGUAUCAUCAUCAAAGUGCAGAGCCAAUCAGGAGUAGCUGCUGGGUCUAGAGAAAUUGCUGAAAGCACUUUGACAGAGACUCCCAAACAGCCAGCCUGGCCUACCACCAGUUGCAAAGUUACUUAGGAUCAGGGCAGCCAAACCUCUUUAGCUGCUCUAGUCCUGUCCUUUCUGAUCACAUCUGAAGACUGUCAGUUGAGUAGUUUUACACCUUUAGUUCCCACUUCUUAACGAUAUUAUAUUCACUACAUGCAACCAAUAUAUAUUGAAGGCCAGAAUGCUCAGAAGCCAAAUGAGCGUAUCACAUUCUAAGUACUUUAUAGAUUGAUCAGAGGAUCAUACAGGAUGUAAAUAAUGAAGCAAAAUUAUAAAUAUUAUGGGGGAAGGCAUUUCUUUUGAUCCUGAAACCUGGUUGUGGACAAACAGGAGUCUGCAGGGCCAUCAGGCAUGGGCAGGAACUCCCAUGAACUUCUGCACAGGGGCCUUGGGUCUUCUAUUGCUUAUGUCAAUCUGCAGCCAAGUUCCACUCAUGGGAGCCCAGGGCUCAUCUGGAGUAGACAUAUAGGAGAAAAGAAAGCAAACUGGCUAGGUGGAUUGUAUGUUCAUCAUGCCAUGCUGAUCUUCAAGAAGAGUCACAUAAAGAAACCUUAGCUGCUUUACUGCUGUCUGUCAUUUUGGCAUGUAAAAUCUGGUUACAUUUUUCAUCUCUGUGACAAAAUACCCAACCAAUACAUAUUAAUGAAGGUGGGAUUUAUUUGGGCUCACUGCCUCCUGAGGACUUGGCUUCUCAUCCUGGGGAAAUCAUGAGAGCAGAGCAUGAGGCAGCUGGUUUCAUUGCAUCGGUAAUCAGGAGGCAUGAAUAUUGGUUAUCAGCCCACUACCUUUCAUUAAGUUGGGGACCCCAGUCUAUAUAAUGAUGCCAACCAUAUCCGAGGAAGGUGUCUUACCUCCAAUGUAAACUUAUCUAGAAACACCCAGAUGUGUGUUUCUAGUAGUGAUCCUAAGACCAGUCAAAUUGACAGGAUUAGCCAUCUCAGACCUUAUAGGAAAAGAUUUCUUGGACAAACAGGUACAGACCACUAUACAGACCAAAGAUAUCCCUAAGCUUAAGCUUGGUAAGGCUAUAAACCACUCAAAAAGCAUGUUCAACAAAUAGACGAAGUUUAUUCCCAUAAAAUGUUCUCAGUAAAUGAAAAACAACAAGUUCUUAUAACUCACAUUCUAAACAUUUUAAAUGUCAGAUCAUGUACAAUCUCAAAACCAAACACAACUAAUAAACUUCAUAGAAC
Molecule: long non-coding RNA, 2411 nt
Filed under: Mus musculus (house mouse)
Lineage: Eukaryota; Metazoa; Chordata; Mammalia; Rodentia; Muridae
Description: long non-coding RNA chr7:51596296-51598707
Source: RNAcentral